This is a non-coding RNA of Myotis brandtii (Brandt's bat), 75 nucleotides long. Lineage: Eukaryota; Metazoa; Chordata; Mammalia; Chiroptera; Vespertilionidae. The record is from Rfam.
GGCAGUUCUCAGGUGACACAGCCUGGAACCAGGCUCCCUACUCUCCAGUUGCAGGUGCGUCACCCGAGAAUCUCC